AGGGUUCACCCGUCUCUGUGUGCUCUCUACAAAGGCUCUGAUACCCAGGAGGUGCCUGUUGUACCGCAUGUCUGGAGCGGAGCUUCUAGAUUCACGUCUGGAAGCAGGCUUGAGUUUACCGUGACCACUGAGAAUGUUCCAGACAAACCAACCAGAACUUCCCCAGCCAACACAGCAUGAAGAGAGGUUAGCUGUCCCCUCCCUUCACAGCCCAGCUCACCAACUCCAUCCUGUCCCCGCAUCUGGCAAGAGGACCCACCUGCUGGCCUGGAGCCCAGGAAGCCGGCUCAGUCUGGAGGGCUUGCACCAAGUGGAUCCUUUUUACAACGCCCACCAGGGUCUGAGACUCUAACAAGUACAGAGGGAGGAACGCGUUACGAACAUAGAACAUUGUAAAUUUGUUUAAAAUCUGAGUCAGGUCAAUGAAAAAAUGAACCCUGAGGUACACUCCAAUCUGAGAUCCUAC
This is a long non-coding RNA of Grammomys surdaster, 466 nucleotides long. RefSeq lists it as uncharacterized. NCBI's taxonomy places the organism in Eukaryota, Metazoa, Chordata, Mammalia, Rodentia, Muridae. The record is from RefSeq and is a predicted model, not a curated record. The transcript is spliced from 4 exons.